Molecule: microRNA, 22 nt
Filed under: Oryza sativa (Asian cultivated rice)
Lineage: Eukaryota; Viridiplantae; Streptophyta; Magnoliopsida; Poales; Poaceae
Description: osa-miR1866-3p
Source: miRBase by way of RNAcentral
UGAAAUUCCUGUAAAAUUCUUG